GAUGAACGCUAGCGGCAGGCUUAACACAUGCAAGUCGAGGGGUAACAGGGAAGAGCUUGCUUUUCCGCUGACGACCGGCGCACGGGUGCGUAACGCGUAUAGAACCUACCUUUUACAGGGGAAUAGCCCAGAGAAAUUUGGAUUAAUGCCCCAUAGUAUUAUUGAAUGGCAUCAUUUAAUAAUUAAACAUUUAUGGGUAAAAGAUGGCUAUGCGUUCUAUUAGCUAGAUGGUAAGGUAACGGCUUACCAUGGCAACGAUAGAUAGGGGUCCUGAGAGGGAGAUCCCCCACACUGGUACUGAGACACGGACCAGACUCCUACGGGAGGCAGCAGUGAGGAAUAUUGGACAAUGGAGGCAACUCUGAUCCAGCCAUGCCGCGUGCAGGAAGACGGUCCUAUGGAUUGUAAACUGCUUUUAUAUAGGAAGAAACCUUUCCACGUGUGGAAAGCUGACGGUACUAUAAGAAUAAGCACCGGCUAACUCCGUGCCAGCAGCCGCGGUAAUACGGAGGGUGCAAGCGUUAUCCGGAAUCAUUGGGUUUAAAGGGUCCGUAGGCGGACUAAUAAGUCAGGGGUGAAAUCCAACAGCUUAACUGUUGAACUGCCUUUGAUACUGUUAGUCUUGAGUUAUAUGGAAGUAGAUAGAAUAUGUAGUGUAGCGGUGAAAUGCUUAGAGAUUACAUAGAAUACCGAUUGCGA
Molecule: ribosomal RNA, 699 nt
Filed under: Lutibacter sp.
Lineage: Bacteria; Pseudomonadati; Bacteroidota; Flavobacteriia; Flavobacteriales; Flavobacteriaceae
Description: bacterial SSU rRNA
Rfam family: Bacterial small subunit ribosomal RNA
Source: RNAcentral